GAUGAACGCUGGCGGCGUGCCUAAUACAUGCAAGUCGAGCGAACGGACGAGAAGCUUGCUUCUCUGAUGUUAGCGGCGGACGGGUGAGUAACACGUGGAUAACCUACCUAUAAGACUGGGAUAACUUCGGGAAACCGGAGCUAAUACCGGAUGAUCUUUUGAACCGCAUGGUUCAAAAGUGAAAGACGGUCUUGCUGUCACUUAUAGAUGGAUCCGCGCUGCCUUAGCUAGUUGGUAAGGUAACGGCUUACCAAGGCAACGAUGCAUAGCCGACCUGAGAGGGGGAACGGCCACACUGGAACUGAGACACGGUCCAGACUCCUACGGGAGGAAGCAGUAGGGAAUCUUCCGCAAUGGGCGAAAGCCUGACGGAGCAACGCGGCGUGGGUGAUGAAGGUCUUCGGAUCGUAAAACUCUGUUAUUAGGGAAGAACAUAUGUGUAAGUAACUGUGCACAUCUUGACGGUACCUAAUCAGAGAGCCACGGCUAACUACGUG
This 497-nucleotide ribosomal RNA is filed under the name uncultured bacterium. RNAcentral describes it as "partial 16S ribosomal RNA". It matches the Rfam family "Bacterial small subunit ribosomal RNA", at positions 28 to 507 of the family's 1533-position model. The record is from RNAcentral.